CCUACGGGAGGCAGCAGUGGGGAAUAUUGGACAAUGGGCGAAAGCCUGAUCCAGCAAUGCCGCGUGAGUGAUGAAGGCCUUCGGGUCGUAAAGCUCUUUUACCAGGGAUGAUAAUGACAGUACCUGGAGAAUAAGCUCCGGCUAACUCCGUGCCAGCAGCCGCGGUAAUACGGAGGGAGCUAGCGUUGUUCGGAAUUACUGGGCGUAAAGAGUACGUAGGCGGUUAUUCAAGUCAGAGGUGAAAGCCCGGGGCUCAACCCCGGAACUGCCUUUGAAACUAGAUAACUAGAGUCUUGGAGAGGUUAGUGGAAUUCCGAGUGUAGAGGUGAAAUUCGUAGAUAUUCGGAAGAACACCAGUGGCGAAGGCGACUAACUGGACAAGUACUGACGCUGAGGUACGAAAGCGUGGGGAGCAAACAGGAUUAGAUACCCUGGUAGUCCACGCCGUAAACGAUGAUAACUAGUUGUUCGGUCACUUGGUGACUGAGUGACGCAGCUAACGCAUUAAGUUAUCCGCCUGGGGAGUACGGUCGCAAGAUUAAAACUUAAAGGAAAUUGACGG
Molecule: ribosomal RNA, 562 nt
Filed under: uncultured bacterium
Lineage: Bacteria
Description: bacterial SSU rRNA
Rfam family: Bacterial small subunit ribosomal RNA
Source: RNAcentral